This 464-nucleotide ribosomal RNA is filed under the name uncultured bacterium. Its description in RNAcentral is "partial 16S ribosomal RNA". It matches the Rfam family "Bacterial small subunit ribosomal RNA", at positions 339 to 795 of the family's 1533-position model. The record is from RNAcentral.
CUACGGGGGGCUGCAGUGAGGAAUUUUGCGCAAUGGGGGAAACCCUGACGCAGCAACGCCGCGUGAGCGAAGAAGGCCCUCGGGUCGUAAAGCUCUGUCAAGUGGGAAAAAAGCCUUUUGAUCAAUACCCAAAAGGUUUGAUGGUACCACUGGAGGAAGCACCGGCUAACUCCGUGCCAGCAGCCGCGGUAAUACGGAGGGUGCAAGCGUUGUUCGGAAUUACUGGGCGUAAAGGGCGUGCAGGCGGUUUGGCAAGUCAGAUGUGAAAGCCCUGGGCUUAACCCGGGAAGUGCAUUUGGAACUGCGUGUCUUGAGUAUGGGAGAGGAGAGUGGAAUUCCCAGUGUAGAGGUGAAAUUCGUAGAUAUUGGGAGGAACACCCGUGGCGAAGGCGACUCUCUGGACCAAUACUGACGCUGAGACGCGAAAGCGUGGGGAGCAAACAGGAUUAGAUACCCGAGUAGUC